UACUGGACGUCGAGCGGCGGACGGGUGAGUAACGGCUGGGAACCUGCCCUGACGAGGGGGAUAACCGUUGGAAACGACGGCUAAUACCGCAUAAUGUCUUGAUUCGUUAGAGUCAGGACCAAAGGUGGCCUCUACAUGUAAGCUAUCGCGUUGGGAUGGGCCCAGUUAGGAUUAGCUAGUUGGUAAGGUAAUGGCUUACCAAGGCAACGAUCCUUAGCUGGUUUGAGAGGAUGAUCAGCCACACUGGGACUGAGACACGGCCCAGACUCCUACGGGAGGCAGCAGUGGGGAAUAUUGCACAAUGGGGGAGACCCUGAUGCAGCCAUGCCGCGUGUGUGAAGAAGGCCUUCGGGUUGUAAAGCACUUUCAGCAGUGAGGAAGGUCGUGUACUUAAUACGUGCACGGCUUGACGUUAGCUGCAGAAGAAGCACCGGCUAACUCCGUGCCAGCAGCCGCGGUAAUACGGAGGGUGCGAGCGUUAAUCGGAAUUACUGGGCGUAAAGCGCAUGCAGGCGGUUUGUUAAGUCAGAUGUGAAAGCCCGGGGCUCAACCUCGGAACCGCAUUUGAAACUGGCAGGCUAGAGUCUUGUAGAGGGGGGUAGAAUUUCAGGUGUAGCGGUGAAAUGCGUAGAGAUCUGAAGGAAUACCAGUGGCGAAGGCGGCCCCCUGGACAAAGACUGACGCUCAGAUGCGAAAGCGUGGGUAGCAAACAGGAUUAGAUACCCUGGUAGUCCACGCCGUAAACGCUGUCUACUUGGAGGUUGAGGUUUUAGACUUUGGCUUUCGGCGCUAACGCAUUAAGUAGACCGCCUGGGGAGUACGGCCGCAAGGUUAAAACUCAAAUGAAUUGACGGGGGCCCGCACAAGCGGUGGAGCAUGUGGUUUAAUUCGAUGCAACGCGAAGAACCUUACCUACUCUUGACAUCCAGCGAAGCCUUUAGAGAUAGAGGCGUGCCUUCGGGAGCGCUGAGACAGGUGCUGCAUGGCUGUCGUCAGCUCGUGUUGUGAAAUGUUGGGUUAAGUCCCGCAACGAGCGCAACCCUUAUCCUUGUUUGCCAGCACAUAAUGGUGGGAACUCCAGGGAGACUGCCGGUGAUAAACCGGAGGAAGGUGGGGACGACGUCAAGUCAUCAUGGCCCUUACGAGUAGGGCUACACACGUGCUACAAUGGCAGAUACAGAGGGCAGCGAGACAGCGAUGUUUAGCGAAUCCCUUAAAGUUUGUCGUAGUCCGGAUUGGAGUCUGCAACUCGACUCCAUGAAGUCGGAAUCGCUAGUAAUCGUGGAUCAGAAUGCCACGGUGAAUACGUUCCCGGGCCUUGUACACACCGCCCGUCACACCAUGGGAG
Molecule: ribosomal RNA, 1348 nt
Filed under: bacterium YC-LKJ31
Lineage: Bacteria
Description: bacterial SSU rRNA
Rfam family: Bacterial small subunit ribosomal RNA
Source: RNAcentral